This is a long non-coding RNA of Setaria italica (foxtail millet), 1453 nucleotides long. RefSeq lists it as uncharacterized. The record is from RefSeq and is a predicted model, not a curated record. The transcript is spliced from 2 exons. NCBI's taxonomy places the organism in Eukaryota, Viridiplantae, Streptophyta, Magnoliopsida, Poales, Poaceae.
UGAAGGCAACGUUUGCGUGUAUCCCUCAGGGAAGGUAAACCUGAGGCACGUAAGGAUUCUAACAAGGCAAGAUCUGGAUGAUGCAGCUGUUAAGGUCCGUCUACGACUCAAUUACCAGGGCAGCAGCGUACUUGAUUUGCAAAUUUUUUAUGGUCAGUGGGUGACUUUGUCUACCAUCAGAUAUUAAUCACCUUAUCUAGCUGAUAAAUAAUCAAUUUGAGGACCUGAAAAUUUUUCCAAUACAUGCUGGUCUUAUUGCAAUGAUCCUCACAAAGUUGCUCUUAAAGUUGUGUGUUUGACUAGUCAACCCAGCUAUAAUCAGAAAGAUUGAGAUUGAUGUGAUUGAUGGUCACAAACUUCUGGGGUUACUAAGGAAUCGGCUGGCACAUCGCAUGGAAGCCAUAGCAGCUGGUUAUGGUAUUUUUAAUAAGAAGAAGCACGAUUUCUCUCGAGUGGGUACUCACCCAAUGGGAAUCAUGUUAUUUUUGCUGAAAGUGGAGUCACCUGGGAUCAUUUCAGAAGGAAUAAUAAGAUGGUCUUGAAUGUGAAUUUUAAGUCAACAACUGCCGGUGGUAUUCCUUCUCUUCCUGGUGAGAAUACUCAUCAAUCGUAUUAGCUUGCUUCUGAGAUCAGUAAGAAGGCUUCAAGAUCUUUGAUCAAGAAGUUGAGGAAGAUUGAGUUGGAAGGAGGUUGUAUUGAUGUUCUUACUGAAGACAACGUUCACGUGUAUUCCAGAGGGAAGGUAAACCUGAGGCACGUACGGAUUCUAACAAGGCAAAAUCUGGAUGAUGCAGCUAUUAAAGCUCAUCUACGACUUAAUUACCAGGGCAACAGCAGACUUGAUUUGGAAAUUGUUUAUGGUCAAUGGGUGGCUUUGUCUACCAUCUUAUAUUAAUCUCCUUCUCUGGCUGAUGAAUAAUCACUUUGAGGACCGGGAAAUUUUCCCAAUACAUCCUGGCCUGAUUUUAAUGAUCUCUUACCCUCAGCUAUUUAAGGAGUUGUAUGAUUUAUUGAAAUUCAAAAUUGAUCAUUCAGAGUAUGAGGCCAUCUUUAUUGCUCUUGUUGCUGGUCUUGGCAAUGAUUGGAGAGUUGGGGUUCAAGAAAACGAUCUUCUUUGUGAGACUUAUAAUUUCAAUGGAGGCUCGGAUUAUGAGGCCCCACGCAACUCGCAGAAUCAGCGUCGUGUCACAGGACAAAUGCUGCCUCUUGCUGGCUGAUAAUGGAGUUACAGAUCGAAGCAAAGGAAGAGUGAAGCAAACAAAAUUUGUUGGUUGGGUCCGUGCUAAAUUGCCAAUGCCUUUUGGUUGUUUCUCUUGUACUCUUGUGCGCCGCAAUUCAAUGUGAGAUUGAUAGGUAGCUCGAGUGCAGAUUAGAAUGCACUGACCAAAAAAAAGGACAGUUGUCCUAAGAUGCCAACUUGCUUUCAGAUGCACCUCCAUUUUGGUUCUUUAAA